UACGUAGGGUGCGAGCGUUAAUCGGAAUUACUGGGCGUAAAGCGUGCGCAGGCGGUGAUGUAAGACCGAUGUGAAAUCCCCGGGCUUAACCUGGGAACUGCAUUGGUGACUGCAUUGCUGGAGUAUGGCAGAGGGGGGUGGAAUUCCACGUGUAGCAGUGAAAUGCGUAGAGAUGUGGAGGAACACCGAUGGCGAAGGCAGCCCCCUGGGCCAAUACUGACGCUCAUGCACGAAAGCGUGGGGAGCAAACAG
Molecule: ribosomal RNA, 252 nt
Filed under: uncultured bacterium
Lineage: Bacteria
Description: partial 16S ribosomal RNA
Rfam family: Bacterial small subunit ribosomal RNA
Source: RNAcentral